RNAcentral lists this microRNA precursor (163 nucleotides) under Oryza brachyantha (malo sina). Its description in RNAcentral is "MIR812 microRNA precursor family". It matches the Rfam family "MIR812 microRNA precursor family", at positions 27 to 187 of the family's 205-position model. The record is from Rfam by way of RNAcentral. Lineage: Eukaryota; Viridiplantae; Streptophyta; Magnoliopsida; Poales; Poaceae.
UUCAAUGUUUGACUAUUCGUUUUAUUUAAAUUUUUUUUGCAAUUUCUAUUUUUAUUAUUACUAGAUGAUAAAAUAUGAAUAGUAUUUUAUACGUGACUAAUUUUUUUAGAUUUUUACAUAAAUUUUUUAAAUAAGAUAAAUGGUUAAACAUUGAAAAUAGAAA